AUUGAACGCUGGCGGCAUGCCUUACACAUGCAAGUCGAACGGUAACGGGCCUUCGGGUGCCGACGAGUGGCGAACGGGUGAGUAAUACAUCGGAACGUGCCCGAUCGUGGGGGAUAACGAGGCGAAAGCUUUGCUAAUACCGCAUACGAUCUACGGAUGAAAGCAGGGGACCGCAAGGCCUUGCGCGGACGGAGCGGCCGAUGGCAGAUUAGGUAGUUGGUGGGAUAAAAGCUUACCAAGCCGACGAUCUGUAGCUGGUCUGAGAGGAUGAUCAGACACACUGGGACUGAGACACGGCCCAGACUCCUACGGGAGGCAGCAGUGGGGAAUUUUGGACAAUGGGCGCAAGCCUGAUCCAGCCAUGCCGCGUGCAGGAUGAAGGCCUUCGGGUUGUAAACUGCUUUUGUACGGAACGAAAAGCCUUCUUUUAAUACAGGAGGGUCAUGACGGUACCGUAAGAAUAAGCACCGGCUAACUACGUG
RNAcentral lists this ribosomal RNA (482 nucleotides) under uncultured bacterium. Its description in RNAcentral is "partial 16S ribosomal RNA". It matches the Rfam family "Bacterial small subunit ribosomal RNA", at positions 30 to 507 of the family's 1533-position model. The record is from RNAcentral.